AGCAGAGUCCGUCCGCACGUUACACAGAAAAGGUUUUCGGCCUUUUCCGCUUAUUUACCGGCGUGUGUAUGUGUGUGUACGAAGACACGCACACAUCUGCAACUGAAAAUUUACGGAACCGGCGAAAAUAUGAUAAUUCUAAUUUUUUCGGCCUCAUCAUUUGAAAUUUUUGGUCCGAGAACCGUUAAAACUGGAGUCCAUUCGAAGUAUGCGCGAUUUGAAAACAUUCAAAAUAACCAAGACACUCGAACAACUUUUGUCAUGGCUGCCACUCGAAAAGUACAAAAAUAAUUACCAAUAAAUCUUUUACUAAUAAAUUUGUACAAAACA
Molecule: long non-coding RNA, 330 nt
Organism: Bombyx mori (domestic silkworm)
Lineage: Eukaryota; Metazoa; Arthropoda; Insecta; Lepidoptera; Bombycidae
Exons: 2
Source: RefSeq, a predicted model, not a curated record